UGUAGGAGUGAGCCUGCUCGCGAUGGCUUACUGACAUUCAACAGAGUAGUUGACUGUCAGAUGGCUAUCGCGAGCAGGCUCACUCCUACA
RNAcentral lists this unclassified non-coding RNA (90 nucleotides) under Pseudomonas sp. ok266. The record is from RNAcentral. Lineage: Bacteria; Pseudomonadati; Pseudomonadota; Gammaproteobacteria; Pseudomonadales; Pseudomonadaceae.